AUUAAUAUGAGUUUGAUCCUGGCUCAGAAUGAACGCUAUUAGUAUGCUUUACACAUGCGAGUUUUAUAUUGUUUUUUUAAAUGAUAUAGCGAACGGGUGAGUAAUACGCAGAAUAAUUACCUUUAAUUACAGUAUAAAAUAUUCAUUAGUUUUUUUGUAAAUUAAUGUUAAUAAUUAUUUAGUUUUAAUACUAAAAACUUAUUUUUAUAUAAGUGUUGAAAGAUAUAUCUGUGUAAGAUUAGGUUGUUGGUAGUGUAAAGACUUACCAAGCCGAUGAUCUUUAGUUGAUUUUAGAGGAUGAUCAACCACACUGGAACUGAGAUAAGGUCCAGGCUAAAUUUUUUGGCCAGCAGUGAGGAAUAUUGGACAAUGAACGAAAGUUUGAUCCAGCAAUACUAAUUGAAUGAUGACAGCUUUUUGGUUGUAAAGUUCUUUCAUUAAAUUUGAUAAUGACAUUAUUUAAAGAAGAAGUCCCGGCUAAUCUCGUGCCAGCAGCCGCGGUAAUACGGGAGGGGCUAGCGUUAUUCGGAAUUAUUGGGCGUAAAGAGUUCGUAGACGGUAUUGUAAGUUAAUUGUUAAAGUUUAGAGUUUAAUUUUAAAUUUGCAAUUAAUACUGCUUUACUUGAGUUUAAAUUAGAAAAAUAGAAUUCCAUGUGGAGAAGUAAUAUUUGUAGAUAUAUGGAGGAAUUUCAGUAGUGAAGACGAUUUUUUAUUAAAAACUGACGUUGAGGAACGAAAGUAUAGGUAGCAAACAGGAUUAGAUACCCUGGUAGUCUAUACUGUAAACGAUGAGUGCUAAAAUUUAAAAUUUUUAGGUUUUAAGCUAACGCGUUAAGCACUCCGCCUGAGGAGUAUAGUCGCAAGAUUGGAACUCAAAGGAAUUGACGGGGGCUUACUAUAAGUGGUGGAGCAUGUGGUUUAAUGCGAUAAUCCGCGCAAAACCUUACCAGUUCUUGACAUAAUUAGAUAUAAAUAAUGUAUUAAUAAACAUUCUUUUACUUAUUUAAUUACAGGUGUUGCACGACUGUCGUCAGCUCGUGUCGUGAGAUUUUUGGUUAAUUCCUUUAACGAGCGCAACUCUUAUCCUUUUUUUUUAUAAUCUUUGAUACUAUUUUCAAUUUUUUAUAUAAAAGAAACAGUCAACUAUAAGUUGAAGGAAGGUAAGAAUUAAGUCAAGUCACUGUGGCCUUUAUGAACUGGGCUACACACGUGCUACAAUGGAAAAUACAAUGUGUUACAAUAAUUAUUAAAAGUUGGAGUUAACCUUUAAAAUUUUUCUUAGUUCGGAUUGUAGACUGAAACUCGUCUACAUGAAGUUGGAAUCACUAGUAAUCACAAAUCAGAACGUUGUGGUGAAUAUAUGUCUUAGCCUUGUACACACCGCCCGUCACAUGCAGGAAGUUAAUAUUAUUUGAAAUUUUAUAGAAACUAAUUUUUUAAAUUAUUUUAAUAAUUAAAGAGUUACUAAUUUUCUUAAAAUUAUUACAAUAUUAAUAACUUGGAUGAAGUCGUAACAAGGUAGCUGUACGGGAACGUGUAGCUGGAAUAUAAAUGGA
Molecule: ribosomal RNA, 1556 nt
Filed under: Guinardia striata
Lineage: Eukaryota; Bacillariophyta; Coscinodiscophyceae; Rhizosoleniales; Rhizosoleniaceae
Description: SSU rRNA
Rfam family: Bacterial small subunit ribosomal RNA
Source: RNAcentral